RNAcentral lists this ribosomal RNA (254 nucleotides) under uncultured bacterium. Its description in RNAcentral is "partial 16S ribosomal RNA". It matches the Rfam family "Bacterial small subunit ribosomal RNA", at positions 524 to 776 of the family's 1533-position model. The record is from RNAcentral.
UACGGAGGGUGCGAGCGUUGUCCGGAAUCAUUGGGCGUAAAGGGCGCGUAGGUGGCCCGGUCAGUCUUUGGUGAAAGCGCGGGGCUCAACCCUGCGUCGGCCAGGGAUACUGCCGCGGCUCGAGCACUGUAGAGGCAGGCGGAAUUCCGGGUGUAGCGGUGGAAUGCGUAGAGAUCCGGAAGAACACCGGUGGCGAAGGCGGCCUGCUGGACCAUAACUGACACUCAGGGACGAAAGCUAGGGGAGCGAAUGGG